This 264-nucleotide long non-coding RNA is filed under the name Mustela putorius furo (domestic ferret). RNAcentral's name for it is "lncRNA (ENSMPUG00000028866.1)". Lineage: Eukaryota; Metazoa; Chordata; Mammalia; Carnivora; Mustelidae. The record is from RNAcentral.
GCAUAGUGGUGCCGUCUGUCUUCAGAACCUUCUACUUCCUUUGUUGCCCACAAUUUGUGCUCUAUUUUCUCUUUUAACUAUAGUCAAAAAAAUAGAAUAUGGACAGAAAUGGUUGCUACAUCCUCUUUACUACAAGACUGAAUGACAAAUACAAAAAGUUUUCUGUGGCUGUUUUUGCAUAGCAUCCCAAAGAGGAAAAGAACAAUUGUUUUUAAAAGGUUUGAUCCCAAGGGGAGUAAUUCAAAGGUGAAGACAUAUACAUAG